UGUUGUUGACAGAAGAUAGAGAGCACUGACGAUGAAAUGCAUGAUGGGACUCUGCAUCUCACUCCUUUGUGCUCUCUAGUCUUCUGUCAUCAUCACC
RNAcentral lists this microRNA precursor (97 nucleotides) under Ricinus communis (castor bean). RNAcentral describes it as "miR156g stem-loop (rco-MIR156g)". Its record names the gene rco-MIR156g. The record is from miRBase by way of RNAcentral. Lineage: Eukaryota; Viridiplantae; Streptophyta; Magnoliopsida; Malpighiales; Euphorbiaceae.